AUAACAAUCUUGAAUAUUUUGCAGCCUCAUUUCCAACAGCAAACACCACUGUUGAAUUCUGGAAGGAGCACACCUGUGCUUCAAAAUCAUGUGUUGCCACCUGCUUUCAAGCCGCUCUUCGAAUUUUUCUGAAUAUUCCUAUUUAAAUUUGAUUUUAUCUUAUAAUGCAUAUUGUUUAUAUCUAUAUUUUUACUUAUAAAAUUUUUGUGAGCGUGUCCAUUGGACUGCGUUUUUAUGAAUCUUAUAAUUACUUUUGUAGUAUUAUUGUAUAUCUUGUUUCAUUGUUGUUUUCUGAAAAUCAUUGAUGCAUUCUUCGAUUCUACAACACAUAUUGUUUUACCUGGAAAUUUUUUUCUACAGUUAUCCUAAUUGUCUUUCUCGUCACAUUUUAUUCGAUUGUAAAUUAUUGCCCAGAUCCCGAUUUUAUUCGUUGUCUAAUUCACUGCGUUCUGAAUCAUUUUAUGAUCUAAAUUUAUUAUUUUGAGGCAAUUUAUUCACAUUUGUGGAAUUGUUGGUAUUCAUGAAACCAAAAUAGGCAAUUUUAUCAGAGAUUUAACAGAUACAGGAAAUGAUGCAAUUCUCUCUGCUUAUCGAUUACAGUGUCGGUCAAUUUGGAAUUAUACAGGAAAGAAUGUGUCAAUGAAUAUAUUGUUUUAUUCAUAUUUUAUCUUCAUAUGACUUGAAUGUUCUUCUGUAUUGUGUAUGUAACUUCUGCUUUUAUUAUUAUGUAUUAUCAUUUCAAAUGUAUUACUCAUGUUAUUGAAUAUGUAGUUCUUAAAUAAAAAUUUUUGUACCA
Molecule: long non-coding RNA, 796 nt
Organism: Coccinella septempunctata (seven-spotted ladybird)
Lineage: Eukaryota; Metazoa; Arthropoda; Insecta; Coleoptera; Coccinellidae
Exons: 2
Source: RefSeq, a predicted model, not a curated record